Molecule: ribosomal RNA, 497 nt
Filed under: uncultured bacterium
Lineage: Bacteria
Description: partial 16S ribosomal RNA
Rfam family: Bacterial small subunit ribosomal RNA
Source: RNAcentral
GAUGAACGCUGGCGGCGUGCCUAAUACAUGCAAGUCGAGCGAACAGACGAGGAGCUUGCUCCUCUGACGUUAGCGGCGGACGGGUGAGUAACACGUGGAUCACCUCCCUAUAAGACUGGGAUAACUUCGGGAAACCGGAUCUAAUACCGGAUAAUAUAUUGAACCGCAUGGUUCAAUAGUAAAAGACGGUUUUGCUGUCACUUAUAGAUGGAUCCGCGCCGCAUUAGCUAGUUGGUAAGGUAACGGCUUACCAAGGCGACGAUUCGUAGCCGACCUGAGAGGGUGAUCGGCAACACUGGAACUGAGACACGGUCCAGACUCCAACGGGAGGCAGCAGAAGGGAAUCUUCCGCAAUGGGCGAAAGCCUGACGGAGCAACGCCGCGGGAGUGAUGAAGGUCUUCGGAUCGUAAAACUCUGUUAUUAGGGAAGAAGAAAUGUGUAAGUAAAUAUGCACGUCUUGACGGUACCUAAUCAGAAAGCCACGGCUAACUACGUG